RNAcentral lists this ribosomal RNA (2846 nucleotides) under Xanthomonas campestris pv. raphani. RNAcentral describes it as "23S ribosomal RNA". It matches the Rfam family "Bacterial large subunit ribosomal RNA". Lineage: Bacteria; Pseudomonadati; Pseudomonadota; Gammaproteobacteria; Lysobacterales; Lysobacteraceae. The record is from RNAcentral.
GGUCAAGCGAAUAAGCGCACACGGUGGAUGCCUAGGCGGUCAGAGGCGAUGAAGGACGUGGUAGCCUGCGAAAAGUGUCGGGGAGCUGGCAACAAGCUUUGAUCCGGCAAUAUCCGAAUGGGGAAACCCACUGCUUCGGCAGUAUCUUGCAGUGAAUUCAUAGCUGCUUGAAGCGAACCCGGUGAACUGAAAUAUCUAAGUAACCGGAGGAAAAGAAAUCAACCGAGAUUCCCUGAGUAGUGACGAGCGAACGGGGAACAGCCCUUAAGCUGGAAUGGCUUUAGAAAAACAAUCUGGAAAGAUUGGCCAUAGAAGGUGAUAGCCCUGUAUUUAAAAGGGCCACUCCAGUGAAGACGAGUAGGGCGGGGCACGUGAAACCCUGUCUGAAUAUGGGGGGACCAUCCUCCAAGGCUAAAUACUCCUGACCGACCGAUAGUGAACCAGUACCGUGAGGGAAAGGCGAAAAGAACCCCGGAGAGGGGAGUGAAAUAGAUCCUGAAACCGUGUGCGUACAAGCAGUAGGAGCUCGCAAGAGUGACUGCGUACCUUUUGUAUAAUGGGUCAGCGACUUACUGUUCGUGGCAAGCUUAACCGUAUAGGGGAGGCGAAGGGAAACCGAGUCUGAUAAGGGCGCAUAGUCGCGGGCAGUAGACCCGAAACCGGGUGAUCUAGUCAUGGCCAGGGUGAAGGUGCCGUAACAGGUACUGGAGGCCCGAACCCACGUCUGUUGCAAAAGACGGGGAUGAGCUGUGAUUAGGAGUGAAAAGCUAAUCGAACCCGGAGAUAGCUGGUUCUCCUCGAAAGCUAUUUAGGUAGCGCCUCGGACGAAUACUACUGGGGGUAGAGCACUGUUAUGGCUAGGGGGUCAUCGCGACUUACCAAACCAUUGCAAACUCCGAAUACCAGUACGUACUAUCCGGGAGACACACGGCGGGUGCUAACGUCCGUCGUGAAAAGGGAAACAACCCAGACCCACAGCUAAGGUCCCAAAUUCACUGCUAAGUGGAAAACGAUGUGGAAAGGCAUAGACAGCCAGGAGGUUGGCUUAGAAGCAGCCACCCUUUAAAGAAAGCGUAAUAGCUCACUGGUCGAGUCGGUCUGCGCGGAAGAUUUAACGGGGCUAAGCAGUGAACCGAAGCUUGGGGUGCGUAAAACUUCGGUUUUAUGCGCGGUAGAGGAGCGUUCCGUAAGCCUGCGAAGGUGGAUUGAGAAGUCUGCUGGAGGUAUCGGAAGUGCGAAUGCUGACAUGAGUAACGAUAAUGCGGGUGAAAAGCCCGCACGCCGAAAGCCCAAGGUUUCCUUGCGCAACGUUAAUCGACGCAGGGUUAGUCGGUCCCUAAGGCGAGGGCGAAAGCCGUAGUCGAUGGGAAGCAGGUUAAUAUUCCUGCACCUCGCGUGAGUGCGAUGGAGGGACGGAGAAGGUUAGGUGUACCGGGCGUUGGUUGUCCCGGGGAAAGGCGGUAGGUUUGGAUCUUUGGCAAAUCCGGGAUCCUUUAAGACCGAGCACCGAGACGAGCCUUUAUGGCGAAGUCACUGAUACCACGCUUCCAGGAAAAGCUCCUAAGCUUCAGCUCACGAAGACCGUACCGUAAACCGACACAGGUGGGUAGGAUGAGAAUUCUCAGGCGCUUGAGAGAACUCGGGUGAAGGAACUAGGCAACAUGGCACCGUAACUUCGGGAGAAGGUGCACCCUUUUUGGUGGCUCAUGCGAGCUAUAGCUGAAGAGGGUCGCAGAAACCAGGCCGCUGCGACUGUUUAUCAAAAACACAGCACUCUGCAAACACGAAAGUGGACGUAUAGGGUGUGACGCCUGCCCGGUGCUGGAAGGUUAAUUGAUGGGGUCAGCCGCAAGGCGAAGCUCUUGAUCGAAGCCCCAGUAAACGGCGGCCGUAACUAUAACGGUCCUAAGGUAGCGAAAUUCCUUGUCGGGUAAGUUCCGACCUGCACGAAUGGCGUAACGACAGCGGCGCUGUCUCCACCCGAGACUCAGUGAAAUUGAAAUCGCUGUGAAGAUGCAGCGUUCCCGUGGCAAGACGGAAAGACCCCGUGAACCUUUACUAUAGCUUUACACUGAACGUUGAGUUCGUCUGUGUAGGAUAGGUGGGAGGCUAUGAAACUGUGGCGCUAGCUGCAGUGGAGCCAACCUUGAAAUACCACCCUGUCGUGCUUGACGUUCUAACCUAGAUCCGUUAUCCGGAUCAGGGACCGUGUAUGGUGGGUAGUUUGACUGGGGCGGUCUCAGCGCGGUCGGACAUCGCGCACUGUGUGCAAAGGCAUAAGCGUGCUUGACUGCAAGAUCGACGGAUCAAGCAGGUACGAAAGUAGGUCUUAGUGAUCCGGUGGUUCUGUAUGGAAGGGCCAUCGCUCAACGGAUAAAAGGUACUCCGGGGAUAACAGGCUGAUACCGCCCAAGAGUUCAUAUCGACGGCGGUGUUUGGCACCUCGAUGUCGGCUCAUCACAUCCUGGGGCUGUAGUCGGUCCCAAGGGUAUGGCUGUUCGCCAUUUAAAGUGGUACGCGAGCUGGGUUCAGAACGUCGUGAGACAGUUCGGUCCCUAUCUGCCAUGGGCGUUGGAAGUUUGAGAGGGGCUGCUCCUAGUACGAGAGGACCGGAGUGGACGAACCUCUGGUGUUCCGGUUGUCACGCCAGUGGCAUUGCCGGGUAGCUAUGUUCGGAAGCGAUAACCGCUGAAAGCAUCUAAGCGGGAAGCGCGCCUCAAGAUGAGACUUCCCGGGGCACAAGCCCCCUAAAGGAACCAUAUAGACUAUGUGGUUGAUAGGUCAGGUGUGUAAGUACAGCAAUGUAUUGAGCUAACUGAUACUAAUGAUCCGUGCGGCUUGACCAU